GUAGGUGGCAAGCGUUGUCCGGAAUUAUUGGGCGUAAAGCGCGCGCAGGCGGUUCUUUAAGUCUGAUGUGAAAGCCCACGGCUCAACCGUGGAGGGUCAUUGGAAACUGGAGAACUUGAGUACAGAAGAGGAAAGCGGAAUUCCACGUGUAGCGGUGAAAUGCGUAGAGAUGUGGAGGAACACCAGUGGCGAAGGCGGCUUUCUGGUCUGUAACUGACGCUGAGGCGCGAAAGCGUGGGGGAGCAAACAGGAUUAGAUACCCUGGUAGUCCACGCCGUAAACGAUGAGUGCUAAGUGUUAGGGGGUUUCCGCCCCUUAGUGCUGCAGCUAACGCAUUAAGCACUCCGCCUGGGAGUACGGCCGCAAGGCU
Molecule: ribosomal RNA, 370 nt
Filed under: uncultured organism
Description: partial 16S ribosomal RNA
Rfam family: Bacterial small subunit ribosomal RNA
Source: RNAcentral